This 1183-nucleotide long non-coding RNA is filed under the name Phascolarctos cinereus (koala). RNAcentral's name for it is "lncRNA (ENSPCIG00000032022.1)". The record is from RNAcentral. Lineage: Eukaryota; Metazoa; Chordata; Mammalia; Diprotodontia; Phascolarctidae.
AAAAUAUUUAAAAAUAAAUAAAUGCCAGCUAUUAUUCUUAUUCUAUGUAUGCUUAAUAUGACCACUUCGAUGUUUUAGCAGUCCAAAAUGUUUGACUACGUGAUUCAGUAAAGUAAGGAAGCAAAGAUGUCUUCUGAAGCCUGAAUAAAUAAGAAACCUUUUAGAUAUCUGUCCAUAUAUGGGCCUGAGGACAAGGAACGCCCGGUGUGGUACCUCCCUCUACCCCUGCAGUGGAGUAGAGAGACUCCCAUAGUUCAUAAGCCUGACAUCAAGGGAACAAAACUCUAGCAGUGGUUGAUGAGAAGACCGAGGAGUUUCUACAGGAAGCUGACUUACGUUUAGCAACUUCCUAAUCUCUGGUCACUUUGAGAUUGCUUCUACUGCCAGAACCACUGGAAGCAUUAACUUGCUCAUUUUAGUAAAUCCUCCAUUAACCCAAACUAAUAUUUGUGCUUUUUUUCUUUUUGGAGAAAAUAUGAAUCAGUUAUAUUUUUGGUGAGGAUUGAGUGUGUUUGGGAAGACACACAAAAAACUGACACAAAGAACUCCAGGGAUCUUCAUCGCCCCCCACAUACUUGGAGCAAACCUGACUUUAGGCAUCCUUCAUUUUCAGGUCACAAGGAAUCGAUAUCAUACAGCAUCUGUUACAUUUUUGGUGAGGAUCGAGUGUGUGUGGAAAGGGUCAGUCCUGGAAGAAAAUCACUCUGACACAAGGAGCUAAAGGGAUCUUCAUUUUCACCCACAUACUUGGAGCAAACUUGACUUUGGUGGGUCCUCCAUUUUCAGAUCACAAGGAAUCGGUAUCAUCCAGCAUCCGGUAGGCCUCUUUAAACAAUCAUUUCUUGAGUGUUGCAGGGAAUGUAGUGGUCACUUCACUGACUCUUCUUUCCCUGGAGGUUGAUGGUUGGUGGGGCAACUUUGGUUUCUCUCUGAUGCCAUCCAAAAUGAAGGAGAAGUUGGGAGUUGGUGGUGGUAGGGAGCUGGGGGCCAACAUUGCUCUAAAUUAGAACACAUUCUUAGCAGGAUGCACAGAUAACUUUAUCAUAGUUUAAGAAAAAUUAGUCUAGUCACCAUUCUGCUUUCUGUUUGGCAGCAUUCAUUCACCUUAGGCUGAACAUAGAGUGGUUAAAAUAUGAUUCUUAGGAAAAAUAAAACUAAAACUUACUAUAUUUUAAGUCCUUAU